This 425-nucleotide ribosomal RNA is filed under the name uncultured bacterium. RNAcentral describes it as "partial 16S ribosomal RNA". It matches the Rfam family "Bacterial small subunit ribosomal RNA", at positions 354 to 796 of the family's 1533-position model. The record is from RNAcentral.
GUGGGGAAUAUUGGACAAUGGGCGCAAGCCUGAUCCAGCAAUGCCGCGUGGGUGAAGAAGGUCUUCGGAUCGUAAAGCCCUUUCGACAGGGACGAUGAUGACGGUACCUGUAGAAGAAGCCCCGGCUAACUUCGUGCCAGCAGCCGCGGUAAUACGAAGGGGGCUAGCGUUACUCGGAAUUACUGGGCGUAACGGGCGCGUAGGCGGCUCUGUUAGUCAGGCGUGAAAUUCCUGGGCUUAACCUGGGGACUGCGCUUGAUACUGCAGGGCUUGAGGACGAGAGAGGGUGGUGGAAUUCCCAGUGUAGAGGUGAAAUUCGUAGAUAUUGGGAAGAACACCGGUGGCGAAGGCGACCACCUGGCUCGGUUCUGACGCUGAGGCGCGACAGCGUGGGGAGCAAACAGGAUUAGAAACCCGUGUAGUCC